AUGAAUGUUAGGACGCUCUUUUUAGAGGUCCGACCCAUUUAUUUCCACACACCGUGCACAAACUACUUUUUACACCAUUUUUAUACUCUAUGUAUUGAAUGUACAAAAGUCUCUUGAUUGAGCAUACAAUUUAUAUUA
Molecule: unclassified non-coding RNA, 138 nt
Filed under: uncultured fungus
Lineage: Eukaryota; Fungi
Description: sequence contains ITS1, 5.8S rRNA gene
Source: RNAcentral